RNAcentral lists this ribosomal RNA (611 nucleotides) under uncultured bacterium. RNAcentral describes it as "bacterial SSU rRNA". It matches the Rfam family "Bacterial small subunit ribosomal RNA", at positions 790 to 1398 of the family's 1533-position model. The record is from RNAcentral.
GUAGUCCAUGCCGUAAACGUUGGGCACUAGGUGUGGGGGACAUUCCACGUUUUCCGCGCCGUAGCUAACGCAUUAAGUGCCCCGCCUGGGGAGUACGGCCGCAAGGCUAAAACUCAAAGGAAUUGACGGGGGCCCGCACAAGCGGCGGAGCAUGCGGAUUAAUUCGAUGCAACGCGAAGAACCUUACCAAGGCUUGACAUGGACCGGACCGCUGCAGAGAUGUAGCUUCCCUUCGGGGCUGGUUCACAGGUGGUGCAUGGUUGUCGUCAGCUCGUGUCGUGAGAUGUUGGGUUAAGUCCCGCAACGAGCGCAACCCUUGUCCUAUGUUGCCAGCACGUAAAGGUGGGGACUCAUGGGAGACUGCCGGGGUCAACUCGGAGGAAGGUGGGGAUGACGUCAAAUCAUCAUGCCCCUUAUGUCUUGGGCUUCACGCAUGCUACAAUGGCCGGUACAGUGGGUUGCGAUACUGUGAGGUGGAGCUAAUCCCUAAAAGCCGGUCUCAGUUCGGAUCGAAGUCUGCAACUCGACUUCGUGAAGUUGGAGUCGCUAGUAAUCGCAGAUCAGCAACGCUGCGGUGAAUACGUUCCCGGGCCAUGUACACACCGCCCGUC